CAGUAGCCACGGUAAUACGUAGGUGGCAAGCGUUGUCCGGAAUUAUUGGGCGUAAAGGGCUCGCAGGCGGUUUCUUAAGUCUGAUGUGAAAGCCCCCGGCUCAACCGGGGAGGGUCAUUGGAAACUGGGAAACUUGAGUGCAGAAGGGGAGAGUGGAAUUCCACGUGUAGCGGUGAAAUGCGUAGAGAUGUGGAGGAACACCAGUGGCGAAGGCGACUCUCUGGUCUGUAACUGACGCCGAGGAGCGAAAGCGUGGGGAGCGAACAGGAUUAGAUACCCCCGUAGUCCCUGUCUCUUAUAC
Molecule: ribosomal RNA, 301 nt
Filed under: uncultured bacterium
Lineage: Bacteria
Description: partial 16S ribosomal RNA
Rfam family: Bacterial small subunit ribosomal RNA
Source: RNAcentral